This 328-nucleotide ribosomal RNA is filed under the name uncultured bacterium. RNAcentral's name for it is "bacterial SSU rRNA". It matches the Rfam family "Bacterial small subunit ribosomal RNA", at positions 8 to 334 of the family's 1533-position model. The record is from RNAcentral.
AGGGUUCGAUUCUGGCUCAGGAUGAACGCUGGCGGCGUGCCUAACACAUGCAAGUCGAACGGUUAGGCCACCUUCGGGUGGGCAUACAGUGGCGAACGGGUGAGUAACACGUGACCAACCUGCCCCUUGCUCCGGGACAACCUCGGGAAACCGAGGCUAAUACCGGAUGCUCCGGCCCCUCCGCAUGGAGGGGCCGGGAAAGCCUGGCGCGGCAAGGGAUGGGGUCGCGGCCCAUCAGGUAGACGGCGGGGUAGCGGCCCACCGUGCUUUCGACGGGUAGCCGGGUUGAGAGACCGACCGGCCACAUUGGGACUGAGAUACGGCCCAG